RNAcentral lists this ribosomal RNA (819 nucleotides) under Triticum aestivum (bread wheat). RNAcentral's name for it is "partial small subunit ribosomal RNA". Lineage: Eukaryota; Viridiplantae; Streptophyta; Magnoliopsida; Poales; Poaceae. The record is from RNAcentral.
GGGGCUACGAUCGAAGUGGCGGCCCUGCAGAAGGCGCUAUCCGAGGCCGAAGACAAAGCGGCCAAGGAGCGCAUCGGGCGAGAGAAACAAGAGGCCCGAGUAGGCGAGGUGCAGCAAGAGCUCCAGGCUCUUGUCAAGAAACACGAGUCCUUGGAGCUUGACUCUAAGACGCAAGGGUCCGAGCUUGCGAAGGCCCUCGAAAGUGCACAACAAGCCAAGGCCGAAGCCCAAAAGGCCCUCCAGGAAAUUGAGGCGGUUAAGAAGAUAGCGGCGGGUAAGGCAUUCAUUAUGCAAAGCAAGCAUGUGAAGGAAACUUUCUUUUUACUUACCCGAGUUCGGAGCUCUCCAGGAGCGUUCGCAGAUCUACCCCGCAGUGUGUCGGAUGCUGCGGAGUUCUACCGGGCCGAGGAGGGGAGCUCGACGGAGAAGUUGUUCUGGUCUCGGUAUACUAGGACCGAAGACCCAAUGCCCUUGAGCGACCAGUUGAAGCAACUGGUCGAGCUUCACAAGGCGGCCGAACAGGCCAUGAGGGGUCUUAUAGUCCGGAUGUGGCCUGGCGAGCCCCUGCCUGGUAGCUACCUCGGUCUGGUGAGGCGGCUUGUGAAUGCCUGCCCACGGUUUGAAGUCAUAAAGCAGCCCGUCUGCAUCGAGGGUGCGCGCAGGGCUUUUGCCCGGGCGAAGGUGCACUGGGCGAAGCUGGACGCCGAAAAGCUGGUGAAGGAGGGGCCGCCGGAGGGCAAGGAGCAUCGCCACCCCGAAAAGUAUUAUGACAGUGUCCUGAAGGGUGCUCGCCUUGUGGCGGAGGAAUGUGCUAAGGAU